This 980-nucleotide unclassified non-coding RNA is filed under the name Melitaea cinxia (Glanville fritillary). Its description in RNAcentral is "misc RNA ENSMCXG00005001712.1". Lineage: Eukaryota; Metazoa; Arthropoda; Insecta; Lepidoptera; Nymphalidae. The record is from RNAcentral.
CUGACAGAUGACAGUAAACAAUAUAAAAUUUGCCAAAUGUAUACGGUGAAUCUAAAUAUUAAUGAAACAUAAUAAAACAACAAAGAAAGAUAAUCAGAAAAAACAAAAGUUAUGAUUACCCAGCAUUCAAAUUAACAAAGGUUGAACUGUUAGUAAUGAACUGAGUGAAAUACAUAAACAAGCUCCGACAUCGUAGUAACUUUCUUUCGGGACUUGUCUGGGAAUAAAAUCACAAUAGCUCCAUCAGCCGUCCAGCAUUUUUUCAUGCCAAAAUAAUUGCGAGCUGCCACAAAUAUGUCUUGCCGGGUCUUAGUUAAAAACUCGGUAAUUGUGACCUUAGUACCUUUUAAACUGGUUUUAGCUUUCCACGCUUUAGAGCGAAGCUGCAUGUUUGAAAAACGAACAAGUAUGGGCCGUGCAGAGUCCUUUUUAGUGCCAAGUCUGUGGCAAGAACUAAGAUGUUCUACUUUUAUGUCAGGUAUCUUCAUUUGGUUAGAUAACACUGCAAGGACUCUUUUCUGCACAUCUUCAUCCUUGUCUUCUUUUAUACCAUGGAACAGAAGAAGUUUCUUGCGGGAUUGUGUCUCAAUUCGAUCCAUGCCUUGAGCCAACAGUUCAAUUUGGGACUUAAGCAAGGACAGAGUUUUCCAUACCAGGGUUUUGAAGGUAUAGUAGUCUGCCGCCAGUGAUUUAACAGUUGGGGUUGCUGUAGUGGAUAGUGAAAGAUUCUUUUCAAAAUCUUCCAUCCUGCAGGUAACCAUUGAAGACAGUUCCUCCAUAUUCUUCUGAAGAUGUUCGAUUGAGGAGUUCAUUGUGGCACUUUGUUUUCAAAUUAGUGUGAAAGAGUGUGGAGAGAGUCAACUUACACUGUAGUAACUUAACUUUUGCACAUAUAUCUAUAUAGUAAAAUAUAAUUAAAAAUAAAUAGGAGCACCAAAAAAUACGUCUUUAUACUUUCGUGUCUACCCGCCGAAAAAAAA